CGUUCUGACACAUCCCCAGCAGCGGCUUCGUGCCUCCUGCAGCAACGGCAAAUGCCAUCCUCGUCGGCCACAGCCCCCUCAUCAUCAUCAGCUUCCUGCUCACUUCCUGCGGCAGCCGACAAAGAGUUCGCUGAGGAGACGGCGUUAGCAGUGUUAUUAUGAGCCGAGAAUUCUACGUGCCCUGCCAGCCUUACGCAUAUCCGGUAAUUUGUGUUCCUGCACGCUUCGAUAGUUUUCGUAGACUGACCGAUACUGCUUAUUAUGUAUGUGGCAGUGGGGCAUCGGAGGGCGUGGUGAGCGUGAACGGGGUCGUCGGUGGCAUGGACUGCAUGCCCCUCCGUCCCGGGCCGUUCCACUACCUGAUAAGCGAGCAGGCCAAGUCGUUGGUCGCGUUACAGGAGCUGCAGAAUGAGGUCGGCGCCCUCCUCGAGUUCCGGGACCUCGUCAUCGAGACGUUCCCAAACCUCCGGCACAAGAUGGCGGUCACUGCGGCGGCCUCCGCUGCCACGGGCGCAUCGUCCGCCAGCAACGGCAACGCCUCCUCCGUCCUCAUCACCUCCGCUCAGGGCUCACACAUACCGCUUCCGCUGUCCAGUCAAAGUCCAUCGUCGCGACGGAUCGGCGAAUGGGAGCCCGGUAAGGUAAGGCGACGAGUGGCCCAGUCCCGCGAGAACGAGUCGGCCUCGUCGUCGCUGCCAAGAAGUCGCAGCAAUUCGCACAGCGGCGGCAACAAGCACAGCGCGACGGUCCAGGACUCGGGCUUCAGCACGGAAACUUCCUCGAAGGACAGCGCGUCCACGGCGAUACCAAGGCCGCAGAGUCCGAGUUCGAGACCGACGGUGCUCGACGAGGCCGAGGACGAGCUCUGGAACUUGCUCGAUGUCAUCCACAGAAAGGGAGUCCGGCUCAGAGAGGAGGUCGAGAGCCUCCAAGGUCGUCUGGAGAGCGUCGCACCGGAGGAGCUCGACGUGCCCAGCGACAUCCUCGACGCGGUGCGCAAGGUCACCUCGCGGCGCCGCUCCUCGCACCUCAACGACGACGGCCUGGUCGACGACGACGACGACGAGGACGAGGAGGACCUGCUGCAGCUCAGCGACGAGGGCUCGCAGCUGGCGCUGCUGCAGCGCGAGAAGCUCCAGCUGCUGGACAAGGUGGCCGAGCUCGAGGCCGAGACGAUAUCCAGCCGAGCUCGAGCCCAGGAGCUGCAGUCCGAACUCGCGGCCCUGUCGGCUCUCAAGAACGGACUGGAGGACAGGCUGAGGGCUGGACUCGAGGCUGGCGACGCAACCGCCGCUGGGAUCCUCGCGCCCGGGGCGCACAGGAUACAACCCAUCGAGCCCUCGGCGCCGACGCUGCUCCAGUCGCCCCGAGCCAACGGAACUGCGCUCAACAUCAGGAGCAAGGACUCGGCUUUUGCCAGCGUCGUUUCCGGAGAUGCUGCCAGCAAAGCACACAAGAAUAGGUUUAGGACGAGGACGAUCGAGAAGAACGUGCUGGCGAACGUGUCAGCAGUGACGGCGGCGGCGGCAACGGUAAGCCGCUCGAUCGAGGACAUUCACGGAGCCGCGGCUGCCGAGGCGAGCGUGAACGAGAGGCGAGCCAAGCUGGGCGCGCUCGAUUCGGUCCUCAUAUCGCCGACGAGGCUGCCCCUGCAUCAGCAGCAGGUGAAGCGCUCCGACGUCGACACGCGCAAGAUCGCCGCGAUUCUCAGGGAGCGCUCGCCCCUCGAGCUCCAGCGACACCUUAUCACCACUACCGUCCACAAUCAGGUUCUUCAAAAGCGACUAGACGAGGUCGAGAAGAGCACCGAGACGCUUUCCGAGCGAUUAGGAAAGGCGCACGAGGAGAACGAGGAUCUGCGUUUCCAGCUGGCCGAGCGGAACAUCGAGCUGGAGGGCACGCUGGCGCGAAUGCGGCUGCUCGAGCUGCUGCAGAAGCGCCCGGCGACGGAGACCGACGCGGACGACGAGUCCGAGUCGCCGCUGGCCAACGGCCACUCGAACCACCUGCACCAGAACGGCCUGGACGUCUCGACGAACGGCGGCGGCAGCAGCAGCGCCGACUCCUCGCAGAUGAACCACACGAACGGCUCGACGGAGCCCCAGCAGCAGCACCAGCUGAAACCCUCACCCCGGCGGCGACCUAGUCGAAUUCCGCUGCUGGGCGUGAACAAGGUCACGGCUCCCAAACCACCGUCCGCCGCUACGACGCCCACCUCGACAACGGCCGGCAGCGUCGCGGGCCAUCGGCGCAACGACAGCCGCGACUCGCUCAAGUCGCUGAACGCGCGCAGCAACAACCCGUCGAUCUCGUCCAACGGCAGACUGGCGCCCAUCACCUCGGCCAAGAGCCAGGGACGCGACUCCAGUCGCGAGUCCCUCAACAAAAGCAGCCUGUCGAAGCCGCGCGAGCCCACGAGUCGCUCGCUGCCGCGCAACAACUCUGGCCGAGACUCGCUCGGCAAGUCGGCGAUCAACGGCUCGCUGCUGUCGCGGCCGCGGGACUCGCUCGAGUCGACGCACAGCGGGCAGCAGCAACAGGCACCGGGAACACCGCCGAGGAGGCCGCCCGCGCCUGCCAGGCGCUCUCAGAGCCAGGCCGCGAGGCCUAGCUCGGGCGGGCCCUCGGACAGCGCAGCCGACGGCUCCGGCAAGGUACGCACCGUAAAGCAAUUCUUUUGGACCACCUGGCUCAAGUGAGACGAGUUGAGGAGGAUGAUGAGCAGGAGACGGGGGAGUGAGAGAGAGAAGGGAAGGAUGGAUGAGCUGGAGGAGCCACAUUGCGCUGGUUCGCUUUAUCAAACGAAAUUGUCUCUCACUCGUAGGGCCGUGGCCGCUUCUAAGUCUACGAUCUUGUCUCUGUUUUUCUGAGAUCGACAUGCAUUGACAUACAUACACACAUUGACAUUAUUGACAUUUACUAACUCGCACCCACGAGUAAAUGAGAUAAUACAUUUGCGAUAUGUAAACGUGGACGUUGCUCGCGCGAAGACGAGACACAUUCCUAGCUAUAGACUUUUACCGAGAGGGCAAAUUCGCGCGGCUCGGAUUCGUUCUCUGCGGCUGUUGUAUACUUUAUGCGUGCUUCAUUUUUCUAGUUGGAUGAUCAUUUGGCUGUUCGAACGCGUACUCCGAUGUGCGAAAGAGCGUUGACUCUGAUCAGUAGUUGCUGAUUUUUUUUUGUUAUUUCUUUAGUUGUUGCGCACGUUGUUAUUAUUUUUUUCGAAAUUCCGUCGACUAAUUCGCUACGAAUAUGCGUUUAUUAUUUUCAAGAAGUAAUCGCCAGAUAUACGCUAUAAUCACAGCUUCGAAACUAAUUACGCUAUGGCUCAUUUCUCGCGUCUCAUUCUAAUACCAUGUAUUGUUAUACAUAUUAAGAAAAUAAACUGACGUUUAAAGACAAUCUAUUUCAAAGAGAAUCACACGAGGACUGUCUGUUAGAUUCCGUUACGGUCACACGCUGACACAACGCUAAAACAAACCAAAAAAACAAAACAAAAAAAUAUACGUCCACUAUCUGCGACAUCUCUUCCUGCGCCUGCACUGCGAGGCAAAUCGAGGCGGAGUACGUCGCCGUCGUCCCCCCAACUGGCCGUCCGCAAUACCUAUGUGUAGACAGAGAGAGUACACCCAGACAGAAAUGGUCCCAGAGUUUCGCUCGAUCGCGCGUUCUUCUUCGGUCUCUCAGCAUGCAAUCGUCGAAUCCACCGAGUUCGUGGUUCUCAUCAGAGGUCUCUCUUUACCCGGACUCGCUCAACUCCACCGGAAACACCAACCACAACUUCAACGAGGACGAGGACGACGACGAGACGUCGUCGCGCACGGGCUCAACGCGUGUCGAAUUCAUAAUCGGCUCACCGACGCGCAAGCGACUCUUCCAGACACCAUGGUCAGUGCCGCGCUACUUCGACAGCAUCGACACCGAGCACAUGAUGAUGCAUGAGAGCUACGAGUACCCGCCGGAUCAUGGUGAGGCACUGGCCGAGUGCGACUCGCUCGAGUGCGAUGAAAGACUAGAGAGCAACAGCUGAUGAGCUACCGAAGUACUGUUUGUGGAAAAUCUGUUGAUGUUAUUGAUAAAUUUGCUGUUCGUCGAUUUGUUUGUUAACGGUUACAGUAUGCGACACUCGAUGAGACGCCACUCGAUCGUAAGCGUAGAGGUUUGAGGAUGGUUAAAUUUGAGCCUCGUUAUAAAUAGUGUUAAGCAAUGUAGGAGUCAAGUGCAAUAAGUUGGUUUGAAAUAAUUGUUCUAUUUUCUUUGAAUGAAGACGCUGGUUCUGAUGAUAGACAUUCGCUUGAUUAUUAUAUUAAUAAAAUUAACAAUUCCAAUGUUUUCUGUGAAAAUCGAUGAUUAUAAGUUUAUUACAAAGUUCGAAAGUGUAUGUAUAUUUAUGCUUGGCUCGUAUUUUAACUCGAAAAUCAUAUUUCAUUUAUGUGUAAAUAACUUAAAUGACGUAAACGUAGGUCAAAGAAAUACACCAUCAACGAAUCUUGUGUAGUGCAAUACAGACGAUUUGAAAAUGCAUUCGAUUAGAACUAAGAAGAUACGGAUCGAAAUCACAUUCCUGAUCAUCUGUGCCUAGAAGCUCGAUUCAAUGGAGUUGUGAAUGUUGCAAAUGAAAUGAAACAUUUUUCCAAGCACAUCUACGAUAGUAAAUUAUAAAGACUCUUGGGUAGUCUUGAGAACAAAAAAGACUGGCAUGUUUAUUGUUGACGAUCACAACUGCUUUUUCGUAAAACUCCAAUUCAAACUUGUGCGUGUAGAUAUAGAGUCAAUCCCUGAUCUUCCGCGAGAAUAUUUUUUAAAAAAGAAAACAUUUUUGAUCACACAAAUGUCUCAAAUUCCUAUAGUGAACAUGCAUAUACAUCGAAUAUAAUACAACAAAUAAAGAAACGCUAUUAGUCCGUUUUAUACUAUCAAUAUUUUCACUGACUAUUGGAGCAUUAAACAAAAUUGCAUUAAAAAUACACAGAACAUUACAUACUAUAAAUGUAAAACAUUUAUACAAAGUAAAUUAAAAAGUCUGUUACUAUGCUAGCCAGUCUUGAUACCGCAAAUUUACGUAUUAUAUUAAGAAAUGGAUACAAAAUAUUCUUUAUACCUUGUUUGAACAGCAACAAUUCGCUCUAUUUUGUCGAACGAGUAACAAUUCAAGAAUGAGUUUGUAUUGCAAACUUUACAUUACUUGGAAAACUCAAAUAUCUUUUCAUCGUAUGUUUCAUAUUUUGAGCGAAUAUUACUGUUUACAGGAGUUUACAACUAUGUUAUCCAAAAUUGGUUUGCAGAUUUAAAAAUAAGCAAAAACACUUUUUUUAUAAAAUAGCAUUUUGAGACCAACUUUGAGACUGUACAAGUCUCAUUACUGCAAAAAUAGCAGUCUAAAUAUAGUUCAUCGAAAUCUAUCGUCAGCUAUUUGUUCUGUACGCGCAUUUUAUAACUAUAUUGUACACACAUAAACUGUGUUGUGCCUUUCUUAUAAUUCUUAAUACCAUUAUAGUAUCGGACAUUUGUUUUUAAACAAUCUUUUUCUAUAUUUACUUAUUUACUUUGAUUUACAGCAUGUAAUCAUCUAUUUUGAUGUAUAGCGAUGAUACGCCAGAUAGUUUUUCUCAUUUUAAAAUUGACCUCAAGUUUUUGAGCUUACAUCAUUUGAUUCAUAAUCAUUUUUCCAGAAUUUAACAUAUCAUGCGAGUGACGAAUACCCAAUCUUAUCCAAGUCCAAAAUGGUUCUUCAAGUAAUCAAUCGAGUUUACAGUCAUUAAUUUAUAAAUUAGCGAGGAUAGACUUAGGCUAGUAAUAGGUAGUCAUCAUUUUUUGGUUUUCUCAUAUGAAUGUCAUAUUUUAUAUUGACAAUUACUAUAUAUACACAUCUCUUUCCAGGUAAAACCUGCGACAUUUUAAUAUCUACAACUGAAAGUCGAAAAAUAAUGACUAUUGAUUAAAAUCAUCGUGGAAUCCGCAAAUGUAAAACUAGACUAGUUAUUUUCACCUUUUUGCCAAUAAUUCGUAAAAAAUAUAAACAUCGAAUGUGAUUUAUAGCAUCUGAAUGCUGAAAAAAAAUUUUAAAGUCACGUGUUACAUACGAUUUUCUGCACUGUUAUUUAUUUAUGUAUACAUUACAUAGUUUCUUUUGUACUUCUGCUCAAUAUAUUAUAAGCUCGUACGUGAUAAAUGGCAUGUAAUAAUUGUAAUUUUUCAAAUUUCACUCUAAAGUGUGUUUAACAUGUUUAAAAUUUUACGAACAAUUGGCGAAAAGAAAAAGGACAUUUUAAAAGGCGUUUUUGACUAUUCAAUACUACUGUACAUACAGUUCCUUGCUUUAACCAAUUUUAUUAUUUUUGUGUGGUACAAAAUGUGAAUGACGGUGACGAUGACGAUGACUCGAAGUACGAGCAAUCACAGAAUGUGAUCUUAGUUUUUAAUAUUGCGAAUUUGUGAUUAAUCGUUUUAAUUUUAAUAGGACUGAAGGACUAUUAUUGUCCAAACUUUCAAAUUAGACGAUUUUUUACACUUAUAAUUCUUUUGAAAACACUGUUAAAAGUUUCGUCUGUAAAAGCUUGAAACUUAAGUCAAUCAUAUACUUAUGUUUUCAUUACUCUUUAAGUUUUUCUAUAGUAAUGAUAAAAAUAUUAUUAUUGAAGAUCGUCUAAUUUGACGGUCUUUGCUUUGAUGCCUCCAAUUUAUCGUUGCUGCGCAAAACCGCCUUAUCAGAACAGAUGUAUCUUACAUUAAAAAAAUGUUUCUACGUCCUUAGUUUUUUUGUUUAUUAUAUCUGUCGAUAUAUAGGGACACAAAAGGCUGCUCACGUCGUUUUUAAGGCUUGUGCAGCGGAGGCUAUUAUUUUUAUAAAAGGGUUAAUACAGUUGCGAGAACUAAGCAGAAUAGAAAACUGUUUAUGAAUGAUCAAAGUUUCUUGAAUCAUUGACGAUAUCGUGCGUACUUUCUAUAUUGUUCUGUCUUGCGUAGGUGCGUAUUGUAAUCGUUGUAUGAAUAUUAUUUUAUCGAAGAGAUGCUUCUGGCGAAUUUUGUAAAUAUUAAAUACUAUUUAAAUAGGUUUAAAUUGUAAAUAUUUUAACGUAAAACUGCGAUAACGUGAUACAGUUAUAAUGAAAUAAAAUACUACGCAAUUCCAAAAGUA
Molecule: RNA transcript, 7138 nt
Organism: Nasonia vitripennis (jewel wasp)
Lineage: Eukaryota; Metazoa; Arthropoda; Insecta; Hymenoptera; Pteromalidae
Gene: jvl
Exons: 9
Source: RefSeq, a predicted model, not a curated record